Long non-coding RNA from Peromyscus leucopus (white-footed mouse), 677 nucleotides. RefSeq lists it as uncharacterized. NCBI's taxonomy places the organism in Eukaryota, Metazoa, Chordata, Mammalia, Rodentia, Cricetidae. The transcript has 2 exons. The record is from RefSeq and is a predicted model, not a curated record.
CAGAGGAAUUCUCUUGCUUUGGCUCUCCUGGCUAUGUGGGAUGUGUCAGAUUUCAGAGAUGAUAUUUCUGAACAAAUAAGACGUGUGGGGAGAACAAUGCGAGUGUAUCAGAAAAAAAAGUUUCCCUGAAGACCCAGAACAUAGUGAACACACAAGUCUGCUUUCCUCAUCGUCACAAGAUGCAGUUUCUGCAGGUUCAAAGCCAUGCUCAGCCGUGGGCCAAUAUCAGGCCUUUGCACGCACGAUUACUUCACAGAAUGCAGCUGCUGCAUCCAAGUUAUGUGAAGACAUUGUCAUUGAUGUCCCAGAAGAGCAGGAACCUCCUGAUACAAGCCAACAUCAAGACUUGGAAGACACAGUUGCUUCACAGGAUACACUUUCUGAGGCCAAGCUAUCUGAAGAUGUCAUGACUGAUAUCCCAGAAGAGCAGAAGGAGCCCCCAACCCAUCAAUGGAUUCUUAAAGCCCUUAGAGCCAAUCCUUAUCCCGAAGUUACGGAUCCGGCUUGCCGACUUCCCUUACCUACAUUGUUCCAACAUGCCAGAGGCUGUUCACCUUGGAGACCUGCUGCGGAUAUGGGUACGGCCCGGCGCGAGAUUUACACCCUCUCCCCCGGAUUUUCAAGGGCCAGCGAGAGCUCACCGGACGCCGCCGGAACCGCGACGCUUUCCAAGGCAC